RNAcentral lists this unclassified non-coding RNA (220 nucleotides) under Hevea brasiliensis (rubber tree). The record is from RNAcentral. Lineage: Eukaryota; Viridiplantae; Streptophyta; Magnoliopsida; Malpighiales; Euphorbiaceae.
GGAAACUUCUGAAAGAUAGAACUCCAAAUUUUGCUUCAACUUUUUGGAAACAGGCUCCUCAUCAAGGUCGACACCUGCAGCUUUUCUCUUCUCUGGAAAUUUUAACCGCAUAUGUUUAGGUUCUAGCUUGUCUAUCCCUCUUGGGGCAAAUGAAAUUGGUUCAGACUCUUCAAUAGUUCUUUUAACAAGCAAAGCUCGAGAAUGGGAUGGCCAGUUUCUU